GAUGAACGCUGGCGGCGUGCCUAAUACAUGCAAGUCGAGCGAACGGACGAGAAGCUUGCUUUUCUGAUGUUAGCGGCGGACGGGUGAGUAACACGUGGAUAACCUACCUAUAAGACUGGGAUAACUUCGGGAAACCGGAGCUAAUACCGGAUAAUAUUUUGAACCGCAUGGUUCAAAAGUGAAAGAGGGUCUUGCUGUCACUUAUAGAUGGAUCCGCGCUGCAUUAGCUAGUUGGUAAGGUAACGGCUUACCAAGGCAACGAUGCAUAGCCGACCUGAGAAGGUGAUCGGCCACACUGGAACUGAGACACGGUCCAGACUCCUACGGGAGGCAGCAGUAGGGAAUCUUCCGCAAUGGGCGAAAGCCUGACGGAGCAACGCCGCGUGAGUGAUGAAGGUCUUCGGAUCGUAAAACUCUGUUAUUAGGGAAGAACAUAUGUGUAAGUAACUGUGCACAUCUUGACGGUACCUAAUCAGAAAGCCACGGCUAACUACGUG
This 497-nucleotide ribosomal RNA is filed under the name uncultured bacterium. RNAcentral's name for it is "partial 16S ribosomal RNA". It matches the Rfam family "Bacterial small subunit ribosomal RNA", at positions 28 to 507 of the family's 1533-position model. The record is from RNAcentral.